CACUUGGAAGAUGAGUAAAUUAUUUUUCCACUCAUAUAUCGGUGAAAUAAUUUUUUUAUUUUAUUUCUAAAAUAUCACUAAUCUUAUAAUAAUAAUAAUAUAUAAUAUUAUAUUAUUUUAUGAUUUAGUAAUAUAAUAUAUAAUAUAAUGAAUAUAAUAUGAUAUUAUUAUAUAAUAAUAAUAUUUAUAUAAUAUAGGUUAUUAUAGAAAAUAUGGAUAUAUUUUACUUACUCGAAAAAUAAUAAUGCAAAAGAAUAUAGAUAAUAGUUGAC
This 272-nucleotide long non-coding RNA is filed under the name Elaeis guineensis (African oil palm). RNAcentral's name for it is "long non-coding RNA (EGUI_LNC068472)". Lineage: Eukaryota; Viridiplantae; Streptophyta; Magnoliopsida; Arecales; Arecaceae. The record is from RNAcentral.